GGGGAAUAUUGGACAAUGGGCGAAAGCCUGAUCCAGCCAUGCCGCGUGUGUGAAGAAGGUCUUCGGAUUGUAAAGCACUUUAAGUUGGGAGGAAGGGUUUCUGGCUAAUAUCCAGGAAUUUUGACGUUACCGACAGAAUAAGCACCGGCUAACUUCGUGCCAGCAGCCGCGGUAAUACGAAGGGUGCAAGCGUUAAUCGGAAUUACUGGGCGUAAAGCGCGCGUAGGUGGUUCGUUAAGUUGGAUGUGAAAGCCCCGGGCUCAACCUGGGAACUGCAUCCAAAACUGGCGAGCUAGAGUAUGGCAGAGGGUGGUGGAAUUUCCUGUGUAGCGGUGAAAUGCGUAGAUAUAGGUAAGAAGGCCGGUGGGGAAGCCGAUCUCCUGGGUUGACUCUGACACUGAGGUUCGAAAGCUAGGGGAGCAAACC
RNAcentral lists this ribosomal RNA (426 nucleotides) under uncultured Pseudomonadaceae bacterium. Its description in RNAcentral is "bacterial SSU rRNA". It matches the Rfam family "Bacterial small subunit ribosomal RNA", at positions 356 to 774 of the family's 1533-position model. Lineage: Bacteria; Pseudomonadati; Pseudomonadota; Gammaproteobacteria; Pseudomonadales; Pseudomonadaceae. The record is from RNAcentral.